AGGAGACUGGCUGCCUCUGCUCGAGAGAGAAACAGCAGAGAACUGAACAGGAUACAGGGCUUGUAUGGAGUUUCUUGGGCAGGGGGAAUGGAACUAUUCAGGGUGACGUUUUCCAAGGUGGAGACUGGUGGGAUUUCAUGCCCAGAGAGUGGGUUUUUUCCUCUGUAGGAUGGGGGUGGGGGCUGGGUCCAGCAGUUAGGGCAGUUAGAGUGUUCUGUGAGUGGAACCUGACAGUUGCAGGUCUUCAGGGGAGGGGCCUGGCCACUCACGUGGCUUGAGGGGCUUACGCUGAUGACUUAUGCAAAGCAAGUUUAUUGAGAAGUACAACAUUAUACAUACUGUUUUCAGGAGAAAAAUUGGCAAGACCAGCAGAGUCAGACAACGUUGGCAAAAAGAACACAGGAUAACUCAGACCUACGUUAUAAGAACCGCCAAAUAAUUGUUAACCAUCACUGAAGGGGAAGAGUAGGGUCCCUAGAAACUGCAACCUUGACUCUUUUGAGGAGUACCCAGGCUUUUCAGGAGCGAGUUACCACAAAGUCAUACAGCAAGAUCUCACGAGAGAUUUGUUUAGCCAAGACAUGAAAUGACUGUCUUUGCAUGGGAAGCAGAGACAGCAGCAGGUUAAGCUGGCAUGGUGGUUCACAGAAGGUGAGCAGGAGCAUGCGCAUAGAGAAGUAGAAAAGGACAGUAGUUGUGGCUGAGUCAUCCAGGUCUUGCCAAGUCCAUUCCUGGACAAGGACACAGAACUAAAGUUCCUUUUGUCCUUUCAUCAGGGCCUUGGAGAAAGUCUCGGGCUUUUUCUAGUAGAAAUAUGCAAAGAUAGAGCUAAGCCAUACAACCACGGAGUUUCAAGGAAGCCUGGAGUGCCAGAUGCAGGUUUGGGUAUAGACCAGCAAUGCCAGGAGAGCACUGUGUGCUCACAGCACAGAGGUUAACUUCCAGCUCACAGAAAUGCAAAGCCGCUGAACUUUUCCCUCAGUAACAGAUUGCGAAGUAAACGAGCUUCGACAAGCAAGUGCAUUUCCCAGGAGUGUCAGACUAACUAACGCUCAGCUGAAAAUGCUCUCCCGUGCUCCCCCUGCCCCUCCCACAAAGCUAGCUACAUUGUCUCUUUUCUUUCUUCUCACACUCCAUAGCUUUUUCUUUCACAGUGCUAUUAAUACAUGACCAUGUCAUUUCACACUGCCCUUCCUAAGGAGAGAUGUGUGUUCAGAUGCGUUUGUAUCAUGCAAGAACUCAGCCUUCCAUAGUUUUAAAACUCAUCAUCAGCUCUCUGUCCAAGUCAGA
Long non-coding RNA from Peromyscus eremicus (cactus mouse), 1290 nucleotides. RefSeq lists it as uncharacterized. The record is from RefSeq and is a predicted model, not a curated record. NCBI's taxonomy places the organism in Eukaryota, Metazoa, Chordata, Mammalia, Rodentia, Cricetidae. The transcript is spliced from 3 exons.